Molecule: ribosomal RNA, 483 nt
Filed under: uncultured bacterium
Lineage: Bacteria
Description: partial 16S ribosomal RNA
Rfam family: Bacterial small subunit ribosomal RNA
Source: RNAcentral
AUUGAACGCUGGCGGCAUGCUUUACACAUGCAAGUCGAACGGCAGCGCGGGCUUCGGCCUGGCGGCGAGUGGCGAACGGGUGUAUAAUGCAUCGGAACGUGCCCCGUAGUGGGGGAUAGCCCGGCGAAAGCCGGAUUAAUACCGCAUACGACCUGAGGGUGAAAGCGGGGGAUCGAAAGCCCUCGCGCUUUUGGAGCGGCCGAUGUCGGAUUAGCUAGUUGGUGGGGUAAAGGCUUACCAAGGCGACGACGCGUAGCUGGUCUGAGAGGACGACCAGCCACGCUAGGGCUGAGGGACGGCCCAGACUCCUACGGGAGGCAGCAGUGGGAAAGGUUGGACAAGGGGGGCAACCCUGAUCCAGCCAGGCCGCGUGCGGGAAGAAGGCCUUCGGGUUGUAAACCGCUUUUGUGCGGGAAGAAAUCCUCUGGGCUAAUACCCCGGGGGGAUGACGGAACCGGAAGAGUAGGCACCGGCUAACUACGG